GUGUGAGGUGUAAGACAGUAUGCCAAGGUGUAAUUGUUAUUGCUUUAAGUUUGCUGGAAUGCAAUGCCACAGAGGGUGAUAGCCCCGUUAAAGCUGUAACUUGCCUGCUAACUGGGUAUUGUCUUUUGAGUACAACUGUUUGAAAUUGCAGUUGGAAGUGGGUGGUAAACUCCAUCCAAGGCUAAAUACGAGCAUGAAUCUGAUAGUAAACAAGUACCGUGAGGGAAAGUUGAAAAGUACUUUGAAAAGAGAGUAAAAUAGUACGUGAAACCGUUAUGAGGAAAUCGGGUGGAAUACUAUUGGGCCAUAUUGUAUCUUGCUCUUGCAGCACUUGAUACCUUUUAAUGGACACAGCAGUUUUGCUAAUCACAAAUGGCAUUUGAGACUAGUUUAUAACAUAGUUAUUUACUGGUUCAAAUACUGGUGGUGUUGUGGCAGUGAUGUGCACAUCUGCUGAAUUCAGGGUUCCACCUGACCCGUCUUGAAACACGGACCAAGGAGUCUAAUGCAUGCGCAAGUCAUUGUGCUAUUAGAAAGCAUAAAGGCGAAAUGAAAGUAACAUUUCAAAGGCGAUGGACUCACAUAGUGAAUCAGGCAGCCUUGGGCGGCAAAACAGUUAUGUUUUGUCUGACUUUGAGCGCAUGUGUUAGGACCCGAAAGAUGGUGAUCUAUGCUAGGGGAGAGUGAAGCCACGGGAAACCAUGGUGGAAGCUCGAAGCGGUUCUAACGUGCAAAUUGAUCGCGUCACCUUGGUAUAGGGGCGAUAGACUAAUCGAACCAUCUAGUAGCUGGUUCCCUCCGAAGUUUCCCUCAGGAUAGCUGGCGCUCAUGGAAACAGUUUUAUCGGGUAAAGCGAAUGAUUAGAGGUAUUGGGGAUCGCGUUUCCUCAACCUAUUCUCAAACUUUAAAUUGGUAAGAAGCACUUGUUUCUUAACUGAACUUGUGCAGUUUGAAUGUGAGCUCCAAGUGGGCCGCUUUUGGUAAGCAGAACCGGCGAUGUGGGAUGAACCAAAAGUUUAGUUAAGACGCCAAACGUAGUGCUCAUGAGAUACCACAAAAGGUGUUGAUUGAUAUUGACAGCAGGACGGUGGCCAUGGAAGUUGGCAUCUGCUAAGGAGUGUGUAACAACUCACCUACCGAAUCAAUCAGCCCUGAAAAUUGAUGGCGCUAGAGCACUUGGUCUAUACUGAACUGUGACGUUUGUAUGGCCCGUCACAUGUAGGAGGGUACACUGGUUGCGUUGAAGUGUAUCUGCGUGAGCAGACAUGGAGCAGCCAGUGCAGCAGAUCUUGGUAGUAGUAGCAAGUACUCAAGUAAGAAUCUUGAGGGCCGAAGUGGGGAAGGUCUUCAUGUGAACAGCAAUUGUACAUGGGUUAGUCAGCCCUAAGCGACAGGUGAAAACCAGUGAAUUUGAGCAUUAGCUCUUUGUUGCAAAAGGGAAUGAGGUUAACAUUCCUCAACUUAGCUCAUAUGGUCAACGGCGGCAACGCAUGUGUGCUCUUGGGACGUUGGUAUGCGACCGGGGAAGAGUUUUCUUUUCUUAUUAAGAAGUGACGGCCUUGGAAUUAGAUUAUCUAGAGAUAAGGCGUCUAGCUUCUAAGAGCACAGCAGGUUUUGCUGUGUCCCGCGCUCU
RNAcentral lists this ribosomal RNA (1633 nucleotides) under Hofstenia sp. AW-2007a. RNAcentral describes it as "eukaryotic LSU rRNA". It matches the Rfam family "Eukaryotic large subunit ribosomal RNA", at positions 143 to 1793 of the family's 3401-position model. Lineage: Eukaryota; Metazoa; Xenacoelomorpha; Acoela; Hofsteniidae. The record is from RNAcentral.